RNAcentral lists this long non-coding RNA (1283 nucleotides) under Sus scrofa (pig). Its description in RNAcentral is "lncRNA (ENSSSCG00040001273.1)". Lineage: Eukaryota; Metazoa; Chordata; Mammalia; Artiodactyla; Suidae. The record is from RNAcentral.
UUUUUUUUUUUUUUGCUUUUUUUGCUUUUUUUGCUUUUUAGGGUCACACCCGUGUCUUAAGGAAGUUCCCAGGCUAGGGGUGGAAUCGGAGCUACAGCUGCUGGCCUAUACCACAGCCCCAGCAACGAGGGAUUCAAGCCACAUCUGCACCCUAUACCACAGCUCACAGCCAUGCCAGAUCCAACCCACUGAGCAAGGCAAGGGAUCAAACCCUCAUCUUCAUGGAUGCUAGUCGGGCUUGUUACUGCUGAGCCACAAUGGGAACUUCUAUGAGCCUGUUUCUGUUGGAUUUCUUUGUUCAUUUGUUUUGUUUUUUAGAUUCCACAUAUCAGUGAAAUCAUAAAGUAUUUAUCUUUCUCUGUCUGACUUAUCUCACUUAGCAUAACUUCCUCAAGGUCCAUCCAUUGUUGUCCCAUGUGGCAAGAUUUUAUUCAUUUUAUGACUGAGUAAUAUUCCAUUGCAUAAAUAUACCAUAUUUUCUUUAUCCAUCUAUUGAUGGACACUUGAGCUGCUUCCAAAUCUUGGCUAUUGCAAAUAAUGCUUCAAUCAACAUAUGGGUCCAUAUAUAUCCUUUCAAAUUAUUGUUUCCAUUUCCUAUAGAUAAAUACCCAGAAGUGAAACUGAUGGAUCAUGUGGUAGUUCUAUUUUCAAUUUUUUUUUUUUUUUUUCCUAUUUCUUUGGGCCGCUCCCGCGGCAUAUGGAGGUUCCCAGGCUAGGGGUCAAAUUGGAGCUGUUGCCACAGCUACAGCAACACCAGAUCCAAGCCACGUCUGGGACCUACACCACAGCUCAUGGCAACACCAGAUCCUUAAUCAUUGAGCAGCGAGGCCAAGGAUCAAACCUGCAUCCUCAUGGAUACUAGUUAAAUUCGUUUCCACUGAGCCAGUACAACAGGAACUCCCUAGUCUCCAGCAUUAUUGUUUAAUUGCUAAUAAACUAAUCUUAUCUCUCAUUCCCAAGAAGAAUUACUAGUAUGAGACUGAUAAUUCUAACAUUUAGUAAACCCUGAAAGUAGGAGACUAGUCAGAAGUAUAAUUUGGGAAUUUCAAUAAAUUGAGGAUUCUGAUCAGGGAUUAUAUAAAUUAGCAUGGUUUACUAGACCUUUUUACCUAAAAUACACACUCUGGAGAACCGAGUUCAAGAAGCAUUAGAAUAUUUUCCCUAAUUUCUAGUACCUAAGCCAUUACCAACUGGUAAUACUUCUCUCCCAGAGAAUUCAGAGUUUCUGCAUGACUUUUAAAAGAGAAUAGGGUUGGGUUUUUUUUUUUUUUUUAAGUUAUUUU